RNAcentral lists this long non-coding RNA (386 nucleotides) under Olea europaea subsp. europaea. Lineage: Eukaryota; Viridiplantae; Streptophyta; Magnoliopsida; Lamiales; Oleaceae. The record is from RNAcentral.
UAAUAAUAAAACUUCAAAAGAUUUCUCUGGAUCACUUAUAUAUACACACACUACUAUAAAAAGUCUUAGUUUCAGUUUUAGAGAGGCAUAAUAAAAACAAACAAUGAUUCCAAACAGAAGUACACGGAGACUUUCAUUGGACAUAUUCCCAAGGGCAAGAGUCUCAGACAGAACACAUGAGAGGAGCAUAUUCAAGUAUAUGGAUUUAAGGUUUUUAACUCAAACUGCUACAUCCAAUGAUGUCAUCAGAGAGGUCAAAUGCGAGUGCUGUGGCAUGUCUGAAAACUGCACCAUAGCCUACAUCGAAUGCACCAGGGCUUGGUUUUAUGGCAAAUGGGUUUGUGGCCUGUGCUCAGAAGCAAUAAAUGAAGAGUCCUAUAAGAUUG